GGAAGAGGACUAAAAUCCAGUUGAGCUGCUGAACGUUUCUCGAUAGAGGAUAAUAUAGCGUUGAGAGUUUAGAUCCAGUUGAGAUCGGAGAAGAGUUUAGUCUUCACCUCAUCUUCAUCAGUGAAUCAAACUUCGUUCUUCAUAGAUGACUAGUAAUUCUUGUGGCAAGGAUCACAAACUGAAAUAAAACCCGCAGCAUAUCAACUUGGGUUCUUGUUCAAAUAAU
Pelobates cultripes (western spadefoot toad) is the source of this 226-nucleotide non-coding RNA. The record is from the annotation of a GenBank genome assembly. NCBI's taxonomy places the organism in Eukaryota, Metazoa, Chordata, Amphibia, Anura, Pelobatidae.